Molecule: non-coding RNA, 257 nt
Organism: Prunus avium (sweet cherry)
Lineage: Eukaryota; Viridiplantae; Streptophyta; Magnoliopsida; Rosales; Rosaceae
Source: RefSeq, a predicted model, not a curated record
GGAAGAUGUGGAUGUGGUCUUUCCCACUUGAUAAAGAGAAAGGCAUCACUCUUGAAGACUUCAAGCUCAUAAAGAUGCAUAUGGCCAGCUGAACAGGAUCCCAAUGUCAAGAAUCCCUAAAUGAGGAAUUUUGAGUACAUUCCGUUCAGCUCAGGCAGGAGGUCAUGCCCUGACAUGGUUUUUGGGCUGCAAGUUGGUCCAAUUAAUUCUGGCUCGUUUGGUUCAGGGUUUUGAUAUGAGCAGGGUUGGUGAGGAGG